CAGUCGCCGCGGGAAUACAGAGGGUGCGAGCGUUAAUCGGAUUUACUGGGCGUAAAGCGUGCGUAGGCGGCUUCUUAAGUCGGAUGUGAAAUCCCUGAGCUUAACUUAGGAAUUGCAUUUGAUACUGGGAAGCUAGAGUAUGGGAGAGGAUGGUAGAAUUCCAGGUGUAGCGGUGAAAUGCGUAGAGAUCUGGAGGAAUACCGAUGGCGAAGGCAGCCAUCUGGCCUAAUACUGACGCUGAGGUACGAAAGCAUGGGGAGCAAACAGGAUUAGAUACCCCAGUAGUCCCUGUCUCUUAUAC
RNAcentral lists this ribosomal RNA (301 nucleotides) under uncultured bacterium. RNAcentral describes it as "partial 16S ribosomal RNA". It matches the Rfam family "Bacterial small subunit ribosomal RNA", at positions 509 to 807 of the family's 1533-position model. The record is from RNAcentral.